AGUGGACGCUGGCGGUAGGCCUAACACAUGCAAGUCGAACGGCAGCACAGUAAGAGCUUGCUCUUACGGGUGGCGAGUGGCGGACGGGUGAGGAAUACAUCGGAAUCUACUUUUUCGUGGGGGAUAACGUAGGGAAACUUACGCUAAUACCGCAUACGACCUACGGGUGAAAGCAGGGGAUCUUCGACCUUGCCCGGUUGAAUGAGCCGAUGUCGGAUUAGCUAGUUGGCGGGGUAAAGGCCCACCAAGGCGACGAUCCGUAGCUGGUCUGAGAGGAUGAUCAGCCACACUGGAACUGAGACACGGUCCAGACUCCUACGGGAGGCAGCAGUGGGGAAUAUUGGACAAUGGGCGCAAGCCUGAUCCAGCCAUACCGCGUGGGUGAAGAAGGCCUUCGGGUUGUAAAGCCCUUUUGUUGGGAAAGAAAAGCAGCAGGUUAAUACCCCGCUGUUCUGACGGUACCCAAAGAAUAAGCACCGGCUAACUUCGUG
This 491-nucleotide ribosomal RNA is filed under the name uncultured bacterium. RNAcentral's name for it is "partial 16S ribosomal RNA". It matches the Rfam family "Bacterial small subunit ribosomal RNA", at positions 29 to 507 of the family's 1533-position model. The record is from RNAcentral.